UUUUCUAGCGCCACUUUGUUUCGAAUAAAUGAAAUGGUAUAAUUGGUAAAAAAGCAUAUGUAAAGAGUUACAAGGGAGAGGUCUUAAGUUCGAAUCUCACUAUCCCCACUUUUAGAAUUUUCCUCCUUUUUAUGUUUUAACUUCAAUUACAAUCAAAUUUGUAUUUUUAAAAUUUUAUUUAAUUUUAAAUAUAUGUUUAAAUAAAAAUUGGUUUUUUUAUUUUAAUUUUC
Molecule: long non-coding RNA, 230 nt
Filed under: Lathyrus oleraceus (garden pea)
Lineage: Eukaryota; Viridiplantae; Streptophyta; Magnoliopsida; Fabales; Fabaceae
Description: Pisum sativum (pea) long non-coding RNA (PSAT_LNC027580)
Source: RNAcentral